This 207-nucleotide ribosomal RNA is filed under the name uncultured bacterium. Its description in RNAcentral is "partial 16S ribosomal RNA". It matches the Rfam family "Bacterial small subunit ribosomal RNA", at positions 568 to 774 of the family's 1533-position model. The record is from RNAcentral.
AGCGCAGGUGGAUUUGCAAGUCAAGUGUGAAAGGCAUGGGCUCAACCCAUGGACUGCGCUUGAUACUGCAGAUCUUGAGUGGAGUAGGGGCAGGCGGAAUUCCCGGUGUAGCGGUGGAAUGCGUAGAUAUCGGGAGGAAUACCGGUAGCGAAGGCGGCCUGCUGGGCUCUAACUGACACUGAGGCUCGAAAGCGUGGGUAGCAAACA